Molecule: ribosomal RNA, 395 nt
Filed under: uncultured bacterium
Lineage: Bacteria
Description: partial 16S ribosomal RNA
Rfam family: Bacterial small subunit ribosomal RNA
Source: RNAcentral
CCUACGGGAGGCAGCAGUGAGGAAUAUUGGUCAAUGGGCGAGAGCCUGAACCAGCCAAGUCGCGUGAGGGAGUACUGCCCUAUGGAUUGUAAACCUCUUUUGUCGGGGAGCAAAAGCCGGACGUGUCCGGCUGUGAGAGUACCCGAGGAAAAAGCAUCGGCUAACUCCGUGCCAGCAGCCGCGGUAAUACGGAGGAUGCGAGCGUUAUCCGGAUUUAUUUGGUUUAAAGGGUGCGUAGGCGGAUCGUUAAGUCAGCGGUCAAAUUGAGGUGCUCAACCCCUUCCCGCCAUUGAAACUGGGGCUCUUGAGUGGGAGAGAAGUAUGCGGAAUGCGUGGUGGAGCGGUGAAAUGCAUAGAUAUCACGCAGAACCCCGAUUGCGAAGGCAGCAUGCCGG